CAAUAGCGUAUAUUAAAGUUGUUGCGGUAAAAAAGCUCGUAGUUGGAUUUCUGUUGAGAGCGACCGGUCCAUACCAUGUAUGCGUAUCUGGCUUGCUCUCGGCAUCCUCUCGAUAGACGUUACUGCGCUUGAUUGCGUGGUGCGGAUCUCGGGACUUUUACUUUGAGGAAAUUAGAGUGUUCACGGCAGGCUUUCGCCAGAAUACAUUAGCAUGGAAUAAUACUAUAGGAUCUUGGUUCUAUUUUGUUGGUUUCUAGAAUUGAGAUAAUGAUUAAUAGGGACAAUUGGGGGCAUUCGUAUCAACACGUCAGAGGUGAAAUUCUUGGAUUUGUUAAAGACGGACUACUGCGAAAGCAUUUGCCAAGGAUGUUUUCAUUGA
RNAcentral lists this ribosomal RNA (379 nucleotides) under uncultured eukaryote. RNAcentral describes it as "partial 18S ribosomal RNA". It matches the Rfam family "Eukaryotic small subunit ribosomal RNA", at positions 592 to 976 of the family's 1831-position model. The record is from RNAcentral.